Molecule: small RNA, 550 nt
Filed under: Pongo abelii (Sumatran orangutan)
Lineage: Eukaryota; Metazoa; Chordata; Mammalia; Primates; Hominidae
Description: retained intron
Source: RNAcentral
UUUGGAGGACGCAGGUCAACCCACCGCAUGAGGGUGGGCCUCCCUGCAGGGCUGCGGUCCCUCUCUCGGUGUCCCUGUGGCGGGGCUGAUGCUGCUCUCUGUCCACAGUGUGCACCAGGGGGCUGCCUGAUGGAGCUAUGCAUCCAGCUCAGCAUCAUCAUGCUGGGGAAACAGCUGAUCCAGAACAACCUGUUCGAGAUCGGCAUCCCGAAGAUGAAGAAGUUCAUCCGCUACCUGAAGCUGAAGCGGCAGAGCCCCCCUGACCACGAGGAGUGUGUGAAGAGGAAGCAGCGGUACGAGGUGGAUUACAACCUGGAGCCCUUCGCGGGCCUCACCCCAGAGUACAUGGAAAUGAUCAUCCAGUUUGGCUUUGUCACCCUGUUUGUCGCCUCCUUCCCCCUGGCCCCGCUGUUUGCGCUGCUGAACAACAUCAUUGAGAUCCGCCUGGACGCCAAAAAGUUUGUCACUGAGCUCCGAAGGCCGGUAGCUGUCAGAGCCAAAGACAUCGGAAUCUGGUACAAUAUCCUCAGAGGCAUUGGGAAGCUUGCUG